Molecule: ribosomal RNA, 468 nt
Filed under: uncultured bacterium
Lineage: Bacteria
Description: partial 16S ribosomal RNA
Rfam family: Bacterial small subunit ribosomal RNA
Source: RNAcentral
GACGAACGCUGGCGGCGUGCUUAACACAUGCAAGUCGAACGGAAAGGCCCUGCUUUUGUGGGGUGCUCGAGUGGCGAACGGGUGAGUAACACGUGAGUAACCUGCCCUUGACUUUGGGAUAACUUCAGGAAACUGGGGCUAAUACCGGAUAGGAGCUCCUGCUGCAUGGUGGGGGUUGGAAAGUUUCGGCGGUUGGGGAUGGACUCGCGGCUUAUCAGCUUGUUGGUGGGGUAGUGGCUUACCAAGGCUUUGACGGGUAGCCGGCCUGAGAGGGUGACCGGCCACAUUGGGACUGAGAUACGGGCCGGACUCCUACGGGAGGCAGCAGUGGGGAAUAUUGCACAAUGGGCGGAAGCCUGAUGCAGCAACGCCGCGUGCGGGAUGACGGCCUUCGGGUUGUAAACCGCUUUCGCCUGUGACGAAGCGUGAGUGACGGUAAUGGGUAAAGAAGCACCGGCUAACUACGUG